RNAcentral lists this ribosomal RNA (497 nucleotides) under uncultured bacterium. Its description in RNAcentral is "partial 16S ribosomal RNA". It matches the Rfam family "Bacterial small subunit ribosomal RNA", at positions 28 to 507 of the family's 1533-position model. The record is from RNAcentral.
GAUGAACGCUGGCGGCGUGCCUAAUACAUGCAAGUCGAGCGAACAGAUGAGGAGCUUGCUCCUCUGACGUUAGCGGCGGACGGGUGAGUAACACGUGGAUAACCUACCUAUAAGACUGGGAUAACUUCGGGAUACCGGAGCUAAUACCGGAUAAUAUAUUGAACCGCAUGGUUCAAUAGUGAAAGACGGUUUUGCUGUCACUUAUAGAUGGAUCCGCGCCGCAUUAGCUAGUUGGUAAGGUAACGGCUUACCAAGGCAACGAUGCGUAGCCGACCUGAGAGGGUGAUCGGCCACACUGGAACUGAGACACGGUCCAGACUCCUACGGGAGGCAGCAGUAGGGAAUCUUCCGCAAAGGGCGAAAGCCUGACGGAGCAACGCCGCGUGAGUGAUGAAGGUCUUCGGAUCGUAAAACUCUGUUAUUAGGGAAGAACAAAUGUGUAAGUAACUAUGCACGUCUUGACGGUACCUAAUCAGAAAGCCACGGCUAACUACGUG